ACUUGCAUACAAUUGGAACUGGGUUGUGUGGUUCUCUUGUUUAGGAACUGCUUUGCACUAAUCUCUUCCAUGCUGCUCUUUGAAAAUAAGGUUGAAAUAUUUCUUAACUCGAAAUCUUUCGUUGUGUCGAAUUGUGCUGUCUAGUGUCUUCACCACCUCAGGUUCUGAUUCGGAGAUGAUAGCCGGGCCAACUUUUUGUGGGAGGGGAUAAUCUCACGAAAGCCUCAUCAGGAAGGGAUCCGUGAAGCUCACCAUCCUUGGACUGUCGUGGAGUUCGUCGUCACAAGUCAAUUUGAUGAGCACAAUUCAACUACACCAUAUUGGGAGUGGAGGUUAGAUUGCACUUUGUUGGAGUUUUUGGAAGCUGUUCUGAGAUACCCACAGGACUGGUCGUUGGAUGAAGUGCUUGUGAAUUCACCGCAUGCCCUUUCGAACACCUUGGUUAUGCGACAUGAGUUUAGUGUGUUGUUUGCUUUUCCUUCCGCUUUUGUCCUGCUCCGCUCUAGGAUUGGUUGUUUUAAUUAAUGAGGGGAAAGCGAUAGGGCAGUGUUCUUGAUGCCUCUUUGAUCCGUCUCAUCAUCCUAAUUUUACAAACAACUGCUGGGAUCCCUUUUCAACGGCAGCUUGAAAUGAUCCUGCCGGGAGCUGUGAGGACUCGCCACGUCCUAUAUUUUUGUUUUCAUAUAUCAUGCUUUCAUUAACCAAAAGGUUUUAUUCAAUCCUUUAGCAUCUUUUUCGUCACUGUUUGGCAUGCUUUACUGCCCAAAUUCGUGGAUACAUCGAGACCAUGGAUACCUCUCUUCCGAUGUCUUUGAUAAUUACCAUUAACUCGUAACGGUUGUGCUUUCUGCGCGCUUGGACUUUGUUCUAUGCUGUUGAGCACCUGAUUCAACUGAUCGAUGCUAAAUUCACAAUGCUGUCUCUACUUCACCCUGAAGAGGAAGACGGUCUGGAAAGAGGCUUCUAUUCGACAACCUUCAGAAGAAAGCUGACUUGUUCUUCUUGAUUAGGAUCUCUGAUCACCAUCUCGGAGUAAGAAAUUGGAGCUCACCGCACUUUAGAGGUGGAACCAAAUCUUGGCUAGUGGCCAACCAUGUUACAACGGUUUGGGUGACAAAGUUGUGGAUGAAAGCAGAAGGUCAAUACUUUGUCUUGCUGUUAUUAAGAAACUGGCCUCAGGUUUGACACCUUGUAGUAAUUCAGUGUCUAGAGUGCGUUGGAUUAUGGGGUAAGGCUUCGAUCAUGCUGAGAUGGACGGGUUAGAAGUGUGAAACUUCACAGCCUAUGAUGGAAGUUUCAGAGAUUCAUGCAGGGAGAGUACUUUAUUCCAUGUGCUUGUUGUGUUUCUAUCCAGAUGACGUGUCCAAGGAUCCUUUCAAGCAAAAGUUUGGACCUUAUGACUAAAUAAGUGAAUGAACCCAUGUGAUUCUCUGUUGAGGGAAAAGGACGCCCUAUUUGAUCCAUUUCCCAGUGACUUGUGUACAUUCUUUUUU
Non-coding RNA from Physcomitrium patens, 1493 nucleotides. The record is from RefSeq and is a predicted model, not a curated record. NCBI's taxonomy places the organism in Eukaryota, Viridiplantae, Streptophyta, Bryopsida, Funariales, Funariaceae.